RNAcentral lists this ribosomal RNA (428 nucleotides) under uncultured bacterium. Its description in RNAcentral is "bacterial SSU rRNA". It matches the Rfam family "Bacterial small subunit ribosomal RNA", at positions 355 to 776 of the family's 1533-position model. The record is from RNAcentral.
UGGGGAAUCUUGCGCAAUGGGCGAAAGCCUGACGCAGCAACGCCGCGUGAGCGAAGAAGGCCUUCGGGUUGUAAAGCUCUGUCAGGAGGGACGAAGCCACUCGGGUGAACAGCCCAGAGGGUGACGGUACCUCCAGAGGAAGCCCCGGCUAACUACGUGCCAGCAGCCGCGGUAAUACGUAGGGGGCGAGCGUUGUCCGGAAUCAUUGGGCGUAAAGCGCGUGUAGGCGGCUUGGCAAGUCUGGUGUGAAAGCUCGAGGCUCAACCUCGAGUCUGCACCGGAAACUGCCUUGCUAGAGUCCGGAAGAGGAGACUGGAAUUCCUGGUGUAGCGGUGAAAUGCGCAGAUAUCAGGAAGAACACCGGUGGCGAAGGCGGGUCUCUGGGACGGUACUGACGCUGAGACGCGAAAGCGUGGGGAGCAAACAGG